AUUGAACGCUGGCGGCAGGCCUAACACAUGCAAGUCGAGCGGAUGAAGGGAGCUUGCUCCUGGAUUCCGCGGCGGACGGGUGAGUAAUGCCUAGGAAUCUGCCUGGUCGUGGGGGAUAACGUCCGGAAACGGGCGCUAAUACCGCAUACGUCCUGAGGGAGAAAGUGGGGGAUCUUCGGACCUCACGCUAUCAGAUGAGCCUAGGUCGGAUUAGCUAGUUGGUGGGGUAAAGGCCUACCAAGGCGACGAUCCGUAACUGGUCUGAGAGGAUGAUCAGUCACACUGGAACUGAGACACGGUCCAGACUCCUACGGGAGGCAGCAGUGGGGAAUAUUGGACAAUGGGCGAAAGCCUGAUCCAGCCAUGCCGCGUGUGUGAAGAAGGUCUUCGGAUUGUAAAGCACUUUAAGUUGGGAGGAAGGGCAGUAAGUUAAUACCUUGCUGUUUUGACGUUACCAACAGAAUAAGCACCGGCUAACUUCGUG
RNAcentral lists this ribosomal RNA (484 nucleotides) under uncultured bacterium. RNAcentral's name for it is "partial 16S ribosomal RNA". It matches the Rfam family "Bacterial small subunit ribosomal RNA", at positions 30 to 507 of the family's 1533-position model. The record is from RNAcentral.